GUGCCAGCAGCCGCGGUAAUACAGAGGUCUCAAGCGUUGUUCGGAUUCAUUGGGCGUAAAGGGUGCGUAGGUGGCGUGGUAAGUCUGGUGUGAAAUCCCGGGGCUCAACCCCGGAACUGCACUGGAUACUGCCAUGCUUGAGUACUGGAGAGGAGAUUGGAAUUUACGGUGUAGCAGUGAAAUGCGUAGAUAUCGUAAGGAAGACCAGUGGCGAAGGCGAAUCUCUGGACAGUUACUGACACUGAGGCACGAAGGCCAGGGGAGCAAACGGGAUUAGAUACCCCUGUAGUCC
RNAcentral lists this ribosomal RNA (292 nucleotides) under uncultured bacterium. RNAcentral's name for it is "partial 16S ribosomal RNA". It matches the Rfam family "Bacterial small subunit ribosomal RNA", at positions 505 to 796 of the family's 1533-position model. The record is from RNAcentral.